Molecule: long non-coding RNA, 565 nt
Filed under: Homo sapiens (human)
Lineage: Eukaryota; Metazoa; Chordata; Mammalia; Primates; Hominidae
Description: HSALNT0366935
Source: RNAcentral
GGGAGGGCGGGCUCGCCGGGUAGAAGUGACUUGAAGAAAGAGCGAGAAGUAUAGAAGGGCGCAGGCGCUAGUUCAGUGCUCGUGAGCAAACACCGUCUACAAGAUUCGAGUCAAACAACGUGAGAACUUGAAAUACGUCUCCAUUCUUUUUCCUUAGUACUCUCGUUCAUUCACUUACGACUUAGAAGCAACUUGAGGCAGUAUGGGAGCAUAAAAGACAGCCAGGAUGCCAAAGUCUCCGAGCAGUGAGUAGGAGUCUAAGAAGUUGGAAAGAUUCAUGGACCUCUUCCAGUAUGUGAAAGCCACAACUGUGGAGCAAAUGGGAAAGCAGGUUCUAGAGGUUGCCUGCAUUCCUUGACUCCUGAAUCUCUAUCACCUUCAGAGCCAGAUAUUUCCUGCUGAGUCUUUCUGAGGCUGCAUCACCCUGACCCUGACUCUUCCAUCUCCAUCCUUCAUGCUUAAAGGAUCCUGGUGAUUACAUUGGACCCUCCCGUACAAUCUAGGAUACAUUUUUAACCUUAAGGUCUUCAAGGGAUCACCACACUGUCUUCCACAAUGGUUGAAC